CACACAUCAUGACGUACUUUAAGAAAAAUGCAUUGCCCUCUCAAAGGACAAGUCAACAAUUUAUGUUGCUCUGUCCUUGAGAAUCUGAAAUGUACCACAAAAACAUAUUCCAGGUCUUUUGUUUUUUCUGGGAUUAAAAUUCAGAAUCUUGUUCAGAAAUGUCCAGGUUUGGAAAAUCACAAAUGAAUUGUAGAAAAAUAGAACCAUAACCACAGAUUACACGACCCUUAGCAAAGGUUAUGUCCAAAACACUCUUUCUUGAACUUGGGAAAGGCAUUCCUAACCACCUGGAAGAAUUCAGAUUUUGCCCCAACCCCAGCACAUUUUCUCCAGACAUAAACUCAGUGAAGGAGAAAGUCUCCCUCUGGGAAAACACAGCUGAAAAAGAAUCAUAACCACCGACCCUGGUUUCAAAUGGGGCACCUCCAUCCAGGGCCUGUCUCCUGCUUCUUCAGACCUACUCUGUUAUUCUCGGUUGAGAGGGUGCCUGUGGAUGGAUGAGCCUUGACAUCACAAUGAACACCUACAUCACCCAUUGAGCUACAGAUGCAGGUUUGUUCGUAAGGAGGAUUUCAACUGGAAGGUAUUUUACCUCGUGAUAUGCGACGCCUCUUCCAUGCCUACCGUCCUAGAUUGCUAAUUUUUCUUUUGUGUUUAUUACUGAAUAUUUCAGCACAAGGCUAUCAACUUGGUGAAACAGGGAUUAAAAAUAGAAAUAGACACUAAUGAGGGCUCUGGAAGAAAAAAGAGAACAGAAAGACUUUGCCUAUUUAGAUCUCAAAAAGACAUCAACCACCAGCUGCCUGAGACCUGGGGAAAAAUCAACUCAUUCAGUACCAUUUGCCGAAAAAAAAACAGUUCCUGCAUCGAAUUGAC
Eptesicus fuscus (big brown bat) is the source of this 876-nucleotide long non-coding RNA. RefSeq lists it as uncharacterized. The transcript has 3 exons. Lineage: Eukaryota; Metazoa; Chordata; Mammalia; Chiroptera; Vespertilionidae. The record is from RefSeq and is a predicted model, not a curated record.